UCCAAAGAUAUUUGACUUUUAGAUUUAAUAUGUUUAACAGUGUUUAUAAUGACGUUAAUAAAAAAAAAACUGCACUGUCUAAUUAUGGAACUGUUGUAAAUUUCGUGAGUCCAUAGCAUUACGGUCACCCAGUCUCCUAACAAACAGUACACAUAGGCCUACAUGUACCUGUGUCCGCAAGACCAACAUAAGCCUUGGUCUACACACGUGCGAUAGAGCUGUCAAACGCAUCCAGCGAGCUCGGAGAAACACGUUUUUUUUUUGCCGAGAAGUUACGAUGGCAGACAAAACUUUUCUUUUCUUAAUUAGAUCAUAUGAAUACGAAUUCUGAUUAAUAAAAAUUAUACAAUCCCUGUUGAACUAUAUAUAGUUUGUUCUAACAUUUGCAUCUGCAACAACUUGUGUUUAAAAUGGCCGGGUUAGGAAAAUCAGGACCGGGUCGGAAAAUUCUAAACUGAAAACCUUUUUUGUUUUGAAAAUUACUGAAAUAUACUAAUGUAUUCGUCGCAGAAAUUGCUUACAUUAUUCAAGUUCUAUAUAAAAUGGUAUGCUGAACUUCAACACGAACCCGAAUCUCCAACCCAGUUCUCGUUUUGCCACACAAACCCUACAGUUUACAAAGUGUACACACGAGCAGAAUCCGGCCAGGGAUUGAAAAUUCCGUCAUUUAAUAAUACACACACACAGAAUGAUUAAUUUUUUCUUUAAGAAGAAAUUGUAUGAUAAUUAACGGACUAUAAACAUGUACUUAAUACAAUUGUUGAUAUAGUAUUAUCAAUUCAUCGGUGAAAAGAUAUGAAUCGAAGAAUGACCUAAAUAUUCUCUGUUAUCAAACAUGUAAAAAAAAAAAAGGCUGAGGAGGGAGCGAGCGUAGGAAUAUUGAUAUUUUUUAUUUGCAUUUCGGGUGGAAAGUGACUUUCUAAUAAUAUUUUGACGUUAUUUUUGAUUUCUUUAACGUAUGAUAUACACAACUUUACUCUUAUCAUGAACAAUAAUGUUGUAUCUACUUAUCAUGAUGGAACUAUUUUGGUCGGACCAAUUUGUGUGAGCUGCCGCUGAAUACAGUAAUAUAUCUUGCAUAAAUAGUAUGCACUGAUCGAAUAUAUUAAAAACAUUUAUGGAUACUGAUAGUUCUUGUAUCGUUAUCUUAUUAUUUCCCUUGGAAUCCUCUCCCCGUGGGAGGCCCGUUGAUUCUGGUGUAUCACCAUUGCACAUGCAUGCAAGAUAACGUCAGUCUCCAUAUUUAUUUUUCGCGGUAAACAUGUUUACAAUUUUCUGAUGAAGGUUUUACUGCGUUUCAUGGGAUAUACAAGCCGUGAUAAAUCACCUAUGUUUGCUUACUUAUAUAUUAUGAAGCAGUGAUCUUUCUGUGAAAUCAUUGGAUAUAUAUUUUGGUACACUUCGAUGGACGGAUCCGACCACUUAUGCGAUGGCCACUUGUCAGCUUAUGCUGACGGCGAGGAAUUUCUCCGAUAAAGAUCACAAGUUCAACCGCUGUCGAUUAGGACCUAAACGCUAUUAUUUCGUAAGUGAACUGUGUAAAUUAUGCAUUUAUCAUUGAACUAGGUUGUGAAGUGCUAAUUAAAACGACAUCAAAGUUUUGGGGGUAUUCCAGCGUCUAUAAAUAGCCAACGGUUUGUAAACAAAACGAUGACGUGCCUGACCUAUCUUAUUCGUCAACACUGCGAUCUGGAGACUCAAACGGCACCUCGACUUGACUAUUUUGAGUUUAUUUACAGACUUUAAAACGGUGGAUUCAUAACAAAACUGAGUGACAUUUGUUACUUGGCGAUUUAAAAUAUGUGACCAUGGGCUAAAUUCCAAUUAUCAUAGAAAAUACUAGAUCUACAUCGACUUAUGCGAAUUUUUAGAGAUGACCGGACGAUUCCUGGCCAUACAAAGGAAAUGAACCACAUACUUUUCAAAUAAGGUGCGACUGCAAUCAAGGAGAAACUAUUCAAUAAAAUAAUUCAUGGAAAUAUACACUAGCAACUUCGAAUGGCAUGCCACUAUGAUGUUUCUGUGGGAAGAACCAUGGCUUGUUUACAUGAUGUUCAAUAUGACUAAAAGAAUGCUGACCCAUUCCUUGCUCUAUACAGGAUGACGAAAUGGGUCCAGUUGGAACCAAAGGAGAACAAAGACUAGAAAUUUUAUUUCAGCACAGGAAAUUUGAAAUAUCCUUUUCAAAAAAAGAUUUAUAUUAUAAUCAUAAGGUCGACUACUUCUCACAUAUUUUAAAAAAAAAAAAAAAUUCCCCCCAAUUCAUAUUAGUUUUUAGAAAAGUUGCAGGUCAUGCUAAUAAUCUUAUUAUAAAUAGUAGAAUGUAAAUAUCAUUUUGUUUACAAAUAGUGGUAAUGAAUAAGAAAAAUUGUAGCAACGACACACGUACGAUAUAAUAAAAUGCUGAGAAGGAUUGUGGCCCUUGCAAUAAAUACAUGUAUAUCAAUUAUCAUUCAAUGAUCGAUAACCUAUGAUAUUAAUAUGGAUUAUGCGGUUAAAAUAUCCCCCCCACCAAUUAAUUAAAGAUCUUGAUAAUUUUCUUCGAUUAAGAAUUGAGACUUUUUAUGAGUUUUAAAACAAAUCCAUUUUUAUGAUCACAAAUAGCAAUUAGCAUGCAAAACUUCCAUGGAUGUAAAACAAGGUGAAGUGGUUCUAAUAUGAUUUCCCGACCAAUAAUUAGUUCAUUUGUUAGAAGAUUGUACAUCGAACAUCAAACAUGGUAUACAUGUUUCAAUGUUGUUUAUGUUAUUUUAUUUUAUGUUUAUUUAUUUAUUUCUUUUGCUCAAUGCUGUAGACAUACCCCUAGAUACCCUAGUUACUGAGUAAGUAGAGCAUUGGACUAUUGAUACUGGGGUAUUAAAUCAAAUUCCCGGUCAUUGUAAAUGUACUUGCGGAUAUCAGUCCAUCCACUUCCACACUCAUACAAGCAUACAUGGGGUUAUGUAAGCUUAUAAUAGUUAUCCAUCAUCAAAGUGUUCCCCCUAUGUUAAUGUAUUGUUACUUAGAUGAUUAAAAAUAAGCAUGAUUAAGAUAUUCAUGAAAAUGGCAACUAAGCAAUAUUCUGCCAUGAUGCUACAUGCACCUAGGGUUUGAGGUUUAGUUGGAUCCAGUUGGCUGUGGCUACUUAAUUAUUGUUCAAUAAUUACUUCAUUAUUAGAUCAAUUUAAUCAGAACAUCUAUUGAUUUCUUUUCUUAUUACAUAAAGAGUGUCAAGCAUAUUUGGCAAAUUUACAUUCUUGACUAAAGUUUCUUUGCUUAUGGAAUGCCACUUGCUUAUGCAGUGCCUCACAUACAAGUAUCAUGAAGUUAGCCUUCGAGGCUUUUUUUUUUUUUUUUGUCUUAAUGUAACUUUGUUUGCUUUACUAAAUGUAGUUAUUGUUGGUAAAAGUUUUAAAAUACUUGUUGUGAUACACUUGACUGUAAAAGCAAACAUUGGUUAUCGUUUAUUUAUUCAAAUUAUAGAUUUGGAUACUUAACAUAGUACUAAAUUUUGGUGAAUAUUGAUAUCAGAUACAGUUCUUACUAAGAGACAUAGUACAUAUAUAUGUUCUAUUGUAUCAAUGGCUUAAUUUAAUACAUUUUGAUUCCUUGCGUGAUCUGGCUUGAAAAUGUAAUAUUCAUCAGUCUGGCUCAGUGUAUGUUAAUUCUCCUUGUAGGUUUGAUUAUGGAAGUAAGCUAUUGUUCUGAUGCAACUGGUAACUCUGAAGGAAGGCAUAAAUAUCACUUUUGGUAUGUGUAACUAAUGAUUCAAUUAUUCUAGCUCAUAUGAGAUACAGCACUUGUUGAAUAAUGAUUGGAAUCAAACCAUAGUUUUGAGCAGAGCAAUGACUUUCUAUGAUGAAUCAUUUGUGGCCCAGAUUACGAUGUAAAAUGAGACAUAGCAUUGACUAUAUAUAAGAAUCAUUUUGUAGUUCUGCGUCAGAGAUAUAAAAAGUUUUUUUGUGUGUGACGAUUCAGGUUGUUGGACUAGGAAGAAGACAUAGCCCCUUUUGAUUAUGAUGAAUCAGUUCGCAGCUCUGGCUGCAAUAUGAAUAGCACUGGCUAUUUUAUGAUGAUUCAAUAUGUAAUGCUGGCUACAAAAUGAAUAGCACUAGCUAUUUUAUGAUGAUUCAAUAUGUAGCGCUGGCUACGAGAUAUAGCAAUGGCUUUUGUAUGAUGAUUCAAUAUAUAGCUCUGGCUACAACAUAUACAAAUAGCCCUGGUUAAUGUAUAAUGAAUCAAUGUGUAGCUCCAGCUAUGAGAUAUAGCACUAGCUAUUGUCAUUAGGGGCUAUGAUGUUGUGGUUUUGAUUUGGUGUAUAGUUUGAUUUUGCUAUAAAUAUUUUUGGGCAUAUAUUACAAUGGUUUUAUUAAUGUAUUGAAGUCAAGUAUAAAGCUUUGCAGUGUUGCAUGUGCCUUGUUUUAUUUAAAGGCUGUGUGACGAUUCAGAUUGUAGGACUAGGUAGGAGACAUAGCCCCUUUUGGUUAUGAUGAAUCAGUUUGUAGCUCUGGCUGCAAGAUGAAUAGCACUGGCUAUUUUAUGAUGAUUCAAUAUGUAAUGCUGGCUACAAAAUGAAUAGCACUAGCUAUUUUAUGAUGAUUCAAUAUGUAGCGCUGGCUACGAGAUAUAGCAAUGGCUUUUCUAUGAUGAUUCAAUAUGUAGCUCUGGCUACGGCAUAUACAAAUAGCUCUGGCUAAUGUAUAAUGAAUCAAUGUGUAGCUCCAGCCAUAAGAUAAAGCACUAGCUAUUGUCAUUAGGGGCUAUGAUCUUGUGGUUUAGAUUUGGUGUAUAGUUUGAUUUUGCAAUAAAUAUUUUUGGGCAUAUAUUACAGUGGUUUUAUUAAUGUAUUGAAGUCAAGUAUAAAGCUUUGCAGUGUUGCAUGUGCUUUUUUUUAUUUAAAGGCUGUUUUUCAAUCCUAAAAAGUGUUGUAGAUAUAUGUACACAGGUAUACAUGAGAACAGAUGCUUCUGGCUUCAUUUAAAAUGGGCUUGCUGUAAAAUAAAAAAAGAAGAAGUAAAAACUGGCAUCGGUCAAAGUUAUAGUUAGUCUGUACUACUUUUUGGUAAUAGUUUAAUAACUUUGAAUUAUACCUAAAUCAAUCUGGUGGUCUUGAUACUUUGUCCCCUAAUGUUGAGUUGUUGACAGGAUAUUUUGUGUUUUAGUUUUUCCUGAAUUAUUUCUUAACUAUUGAUUUUGAUUCUGCAUGGAUUCUCAAUGACAAAUUUAAAGUGGUACUCGAUUUAUUUUACAUAAAAGAUGACUUUUUCGCUGAAUGUAUGACCUCAGCAGGGUCAUAUCGAUAUGAUGCAUUUUUCAUAUUUUCACAUUAAAGGGUAACAUUCAUUAUGAUAGAUAAAGUCACUUAAUUUAACUGAAUUAAAGCAACUUGCUUGUGAUAUUAUCUAUGUGUUGAUAUUUAGUAUAUGAAAUGAUGCUAGGGGCCUUUGGUCACACCUCUAUCCUAGAAAUGAGUUGUUGUCCAUUUUUUCAUAGGUUUGAGGUCAACGGCUAUUAUUUGUCUGGAUAUUGCUUAUUGGUUUUGCUUUUAUAUUUAGUCUACAGACAUGACCAUGCAGACAGGGGCCUUUAGCUAUGCCUGGAUAUGGGUUAAUAACUAUAUUUUGAUGUUUAGCUUUUGACCUUGUGGGCAAGGUCCUCAGGUCAAAAUCGUUUUGUUUAUAGUCAAACUUUUGAUAUUUUUUCUACCACCAUAAAGACAGCUUCAGGUUACAUGUGAAUAUGGUUUAUUGGAAAUCUAGUCUAUGGCCAUGAAGACAGGGGCUUCUGGUCACAAAUGGUGAUUAGAUAAAUUUGGAAUAUAGUUUAUGGCCAUGAAGACAGGGGCUUCUGGUCACAACUGGAUUUUGGUGAUUGGAUAGAUUUGGAAUCUAGUCUAUGGCCAUGAAGACAGGGGCUUCUGGUCACAACUGGAUUUUGGUGAUUGGAUAGAUUUGGAAUCUAGUCAAUGGCCAUGAAGACAGGGGCUUCUGGUCACAACUGGAUUUUUGCGAU
Long non-coding RNA from Saccostrea cuccullata (small rock oyster), 5991 nucleotides. RefSeq lists it as uncharacterized. Lineage: Eukaryota; Metazoa; Mollusca; Bivalvia; Ostreida; Ostreidae. The record is from RefSeq and is a predicted model, not a curated record. The transcript is spliced from 2 exons.